GCCUGGUUAGCUUAGUGGGUAGAACAGCUGCCUUGUAAGCUCUAGGUCGUGGGUUCGAUUCCCGCCCGGGGUG
This 73-nucleotide transfer RNA is filed under the name Diaphorina citri (Asian citrus psyllid). It matches the Rfam family "tRNA". From Rfam's summary of the family: Transfer RNA (tRNA) molecules are approximately 80 nucleotides in length. Their secondary structure includes four short double-helical elements and three loops (D, anti-codon, and T loops). Lineage: Eukaryota; Metazoa; Arthropoda; Insecta; Hemiptera; Psyllidae. The record is from Rfam by way of RNAcentral.